AAGCAAAACACGCAACAAAACUCACGUGGAUUAUUAAUAAUUACUUUUCUUACCAAAGCCAUACGGGUCGGAAGUCGUGCUAAUAACAAUCUCCAUCCAAAUAUGUUCACUUUAGACGGUACAUCGUUCACCGAUAAAUUUUACAGCGCAUCCACCACAUUACUAUUAAUAGUCAAAAAUGAAUCACGGUUUUGCAAGAAACAAUAUGUUGAUUUUACAGUAAACAUACCGGCAUGGUUCAUGAGCCAUUUUCGAUGAUCCAAGCAUUCCUUCUUA
This 276-nucleotide long non-coding RNA is filed under the name Trifolium pratense (red clover). RNAcentral describes it as "long non-coding RNA (TPRA_LNC007343)". The record is from RNAcentral. Lineage: Eukaryota; Viridiplantae; Streptophyta; Magnoliopsida; Fabales; Fabaceae.